RNAcentral lists this ribosomal RNA (482 nucleotides) under uncultured bacterium. RNAcentral describes it as "partial 16S ribosomal RNA". It matches the Rfam family "Bacterial small subunit ribosomal RNA", at positions 30 to 507 of the family's 1533-position model. The record is from RNAcentral.
AUUGAACGCUGGCGGCAUGCCUUACACAUGCAAGUCGAACGGUAACGGGCCUUCGGGUGCCGCCGAGUGGCGAGCGGGUGAGUAAUACAUCGGAACGUGCCCGAUCGUGGGGGAUAACGAGGCGAAAGCUUUGCUAAUACCGCAUACGAUCUACGGAUGAAAGCAGGGGACCGCAAGGCCUUGCGCGGACGGAGCGGCCGAUGGCAGAUUAGGUAGUUGGUGGGAUAAAAGCUUACCAAGCCGACGAUCUGUAGCUGGUCUGAGAGGAUGAUCAGCCACACUGGGACUGAGACACGGCCCAGACUCCUACGGGAGGCAGCAGUGGGGAAUUUUGGACAAUGGGCGCAAGCCUGAUCCAGCCAUGCCGCGUGCAGGAUGAAGGCCUUCGGGUUGUAAACUGCUUUUGUACGGAACGAAAAGCCUUCUUUUAAUACAGGAGGGUCAUGACGGUACCGUAAGAAUAAGCACCGGCUAACUACGUG